Molecule: ribosomal RNA, 1512 nt
Filed under: metagenome
Description: bacterial LSU rRNA
Rfam family: Bacterial large subunit ribosomal RNA
Source: RNAcentral
AUCUGGUUAAUAUUCCAGAACCGCUCGUGAUUGCGAUGGAGUGACGGAGAAGGCUAGGUGUACCGGGCGUUGGUUGUCCCGGGGAAAGGCGGUAGGUGGAUCCUCUUGGCAAAUCCGGAGGGUCAUACACCGAGCACCGAGACGAGUCCUUUUAGGACGAAGUCACUGACGCCACGCUUCCAGGAAAAACUUCUAAGCUUCAGAUCACGAGGACCGUACCGUAAUCCGACACAGGUAGGCAGGGUGAGAAUCCCAAGGCGCUUGAGAGAACUCGGGUGAAGGAACUAGGCAACAUAGCACCGUAACUUCGGGAGAAGGUGCGCCCAGAAGUGUGGCAACACGCGUUGCUGAGCAUUUCUGGGCCGCAGUGACCAGGCCGCUGCGACUGUUUAUCAAAAACACAGCACUCUGCAAACACGAAAGUGGACGUAUAGGGUGUGACACCUGCCCGGUGCCGGAAGGUUAAUUGAUGGGGUCAGCCGCAAGGCGAAGCUCUUGAUCGAAGCCCCGGUAAACGGCGGCCGUAACGAUAACGGUCCUAAGGUAGCGAAAUUCCUUGUCGGGUAAGUUCCGACCUGCACGAAUGGUGUAACGACAGCGGCGCUGUCUCCGCCCGAGACUCAGUGAAAUUGAAAUCGCUGUGAAGAUGCAGCGUUCCCGCGGCAAGACGGAAAGACCCCGUGAACCUUUACUAUAGCUUUACAUUGAACGUUGAGUUCUUCUGUGUAGGAUAGGUGGGAGGCUUUGAAGUGCAGGCGCUAGCUUGCAUGGAGCCAUCCUUGAAAUACCACCCUGAAGUGCUUGACGUUCUAACCUAGGCCCGUAAUCCGGGUCGGGGACCAUGUAUGGUGGGUAGUUUGACUGGGGCGGUCUCCUCCCAAAGAGUAACGGAGGAGCACGAAGGUACGCUCAGCGCGGUCGGACAUCGCGCACUGUGUGCAAAGGCAUAAGCGUGCUUGACUGCGAGAUCGACGGAUCAAGCAGGUACGAAAGUAGGUCUUAGUGAUCCGGUGGUUCUGUAUGGAAGGGCCAUCGCUCAACGGAUAAAAGGUACUCCGGGGAUAACAGGCUGAUACUGCCCAAGAGUUCAUAUCGACGGCAGUGUUUGGCACCUCGAUGUCGGCUCAUCACAUCCUGGGGCUGUAGCCGGUCCCAAGGGUAUGGCUGUUCGCCAUUUAAAGUGGUACGCGAGCUGGGUUCAGAACGUCGUGAGACAGUUCGGUCCCUAUCUGUCGUGGGCGUUAGAGAUUUGAGAGGGGCUGCUCCUAGUACGAGAGGACCGGAGUGGACGAUCCCCUGGUGUUCCGGUUGUCACGCCAGUGGCAUUGCCGGGUAGCUACGAUCGGAAGCGAUAACCGCUGAAAGCAUCUAAGCGGGAAGCGCGCCUCAAGAUGAGAUCUCUCGGGACACAAGUCCCCUAAAGGCCCCAUGAAGACUACUUGGUUGAUAGGUCAGGUGUGUAUCGCGGUAAUGCCGAGCUAACUGAUACUAAUGAGCCGUGAGGCUUGACCU